Molecule: long non-coding RNA, 683 nt
Filed under: Hordeum vulgare
Lineage: Eukaryota; Viridiplantae; Streptophyta; Magnoliopsida; Poales; Poaceae
Description: long non-coding RNA (HVUL_LNC001764)
Source: RNAcentral
UGCCUACUAGUGCACAUCUUGACCUCACUAAGGAUGAUGCACCCAUUGAUCAAAAGGUUUAUCGAUCAAUGGUUGGAUCAUUGUUAUAUCUAUGUGCCUCUCGUCUUGAUAUCAUGCUAAGUGUUUGCAUGUGUGCCUUCUAUCAAGCAGCACCUAAAGAGUGUCAUCUAUUGGCUGUGAAAAGGAUAGUGAGAUACCUCAUACAUAUUGUUGGGGGACGCCACACGGGAAAAAAAAUCCUACGCGCACACAAGAUCUAUCCAUGAUGAUGACCAUCUACGAGAGGGGAGAGUGCAUCUACAUACCAUUGUAGACCGCUAAGAGGAAAUGUAUAUAACGUGGUUGAUGUAGUCAUACGUCUUCGCGAUCCAAUCACUAUCCAUCCUGCGAUCUCAUCACGAUCCGUCCCACGAUCUCAUCACGAUUCGUCCCAUGAUCUCAUCAUGAUCCUUCCGAUCUAGUGCCGAACGGAUGGCACCUCCGCGUUAAGCACACGUACGGCUUGAUGACGUCUCCUCCUUCUUGAUCCAGAAAGAGAGGAAGGAGAAGUAGAUGGGAUCUCAACCAGCACUACGACAUGGUGGAGAUGAUGGUGGAGCAAUGCCAGCAGGGCUUCGCCAAGCGCUGCCGGAACCGAUCUGAGGCGAAAACGGAGUUAUGGGAGAGGUAGGAUUGCCACCGGG